CCUACGGGAGGCAGCAGUGGGGAAUAUUGCACAAUGGGGGAAACCCUGAUGCAGCGACGCCGCGUGAGCGAUGAAGUAUUUCGGUAUGUAAAGCUCUAUCAGCAGGGAAGAAAAUGACGGUACCUGACUAACCAUCCCCGGCUAACUCCGUGCCAGCAGCCGCGGGAAUACGUAGGGGGCAAGCGUUAUCCGGAUUUACUGGGUGUAACGGGAGCGUAGACGGCGGUGCAAGCCAGAGGUGAAAGCCCGGGGCUCAACCCCGGGACUGCAUUUGGAACUGUGCGGCUAGAGUGUCGGAGAGGCAGGCGGAAUUCCUAGUGUAGCGGUGAAAUGCGUAGAUAUUAGGAGGAACACCAGUGGCGAAGGCGGCCUGCUGGACGAUGACUGACGUUGAGGCUCGAAAGCGUGGGGAGCAAACAGGAUUAGAUACCCUUGUAGUC
This 440-nucleotide ribosomal RNA is filed under the name uncultured bacterium. RNAcentral's name for it is "partial 16S ribosomal RNA". It matches the Rfam family "Bacterial small subunit ribosomal RNA", at positions 338 to 795 of the family's 1533-position model. The record is from RNAcentral.